This 240-nucleotide ribosomal RNA is filed under the name uncultured bacterium. RNAcentral's name for it is "partial 16S ribosomal RNA". It matches the Rfam family "Bacterial small subunit ribosomal RNA", at positions 116 to 354 of the family's 1533-position model. The record is from RNAcentral.
CGUGAGUAACCUGCCUUGGAGUCGGGGAAUAACAGUUGGAAACAGCUGCUAAUACCGCAUAAUAUGUCUGUGUCGCAUGGCACUGGGCAUCAAAGAUUUAUCGCUCUGAGAUGGACUCGCGUCUGAUUAGCUAGUUGGCGGGGUAACGGCCCACCAAGGCGACGAUCAGUAGCCGGACUGAGAGGUUGGCCGGCCACAUUGGGACUGAGACACGGCCCAGACUCCUACGGGAGGCAGCAG